Long non-coding RNA from Poecile atricapillus (Black-capped chickadee), 2753 nucleotides. RefSeq lists it as uncharacterized. The record is from RefSeq and is a predicted model, not a curated record. NCBI's taxonomy places the organism in Eukaryota, Metazoa, Chordata, Aves, Passeriformes, Paridae. The transcript has 10 exons.
UUCGGAGAGAUAAGUCGAGGGCUGUGGUCACAGAGGGGAUCGAAGCAGGGUAGUGGGUUAGGAUUCACACCGGUUAGGGUUUUGAGUCAGCUAUGGGGAGGGGGAGGUUUGAGAACUGGCCUCUGGGGCUACCGUGAGGGAAAGGCUCACUUUGGCUAACAAUGCUGAGGCGGGCAGGGCAGAGCAGUCCCAAGGUGUGUUGUCACUUGUCUGUCGUGCUUUCUGUGUCUUCCGUUCAUCUCGUGUAACACGUCUCUUGCCUUAGUCCUCCCCGGAGCUUAUGAGAAACCCCAGGUCCUUCCGGUCAUCUCCCAUCUUUGCGUUCCUCGGCCCGGGGCCGACGCCGGCGAAGUUUCGAUUCGGGAGGUCAGACAGGCGUCAGAAUCGCAUCUCUGUUCAGCAGCAUCCGAUCGGAUGUCUUUUUAGGUCUUGUUCUCAGCUGUGUUGACAGCUGUAUGCAGUCAUCUUUCUUUACAGUGGAUAAGGACUUGUGCCGAUUCAAAGGCAGGCAGAGGCUUCCAGCCACAGGAUUCUCAGGCAUCCGUGUCCGCGGUUCUCGGAAUAAGUCGUUCCGUUAGCAUCUUUUUCCCCCGGGGUCAUCCGAGCCCGGCGGGCUCGCCUUCGGUCCCAUCUCGGUCAUCUCGUUCAGCGUUUUCUUGGUCCUCGUGAGGACUUUCUCGUCUCAGAGAGUUUUCUCUCCCUGUCGUGUCCCCUCGUCUCACGUGUCACGGGUGUCUGGGGGUAUUCGGUCCGGAACUGCUCUGCCCUGCCGCCCGGCCCCGUUGCAGGUGUUCGAGGACAAGUCCCGGGCACUUGUAAUUGGAGACUCGUAAUACGGGCUGUAGUUGGAGUCUAGGUAGUAUUCUUAUGUUGGCAGAAGGUGUCUGGAGCUGUGAAGUUACCCUGCAGCACUUUGACUUUUUUCCUAACUUUCUUUCAGAUGCGGAUGGAUCAACCUCCCGGCAGAGCGCCUCGUCCCAGAUGAGGCGAUCCCCCUGAGAAGGGAGUAAAGCCGGAUAGCAGCAGUGAAGGCGAAGCAUUGUGAAGGCUGCCUCCUGAUGUUGUGCUGAGGCCCCCUCACUGACAUGCCAAGAGACCCGGUUUGCUUCUCCGGUGAGCCCCAGCAAAUGUUACCGGAGUCCGUGACGAAGCCUCGACCUCGUCCACCUGAAGGCGUGCCCCGCGACGACGGCGUCCGCCUCGGAGCGUGGCCGAAGCGUGCGGCCCGAGGACCCGGGCGUUCCUAAGAGACGGUGAUGAUACUUGUCUGAGACAACAGCCCGGCGAGAGAAGAACUUCCCAGACGGCGAGGUGGCUUCGUUUGGCCCCCGACCGGCCUCUCGCCGUGACUCACGUCUUCAGCCACCCGAGAGAUAAGCGGAGCCCGCAGAGGGGAUCAAAGCAGGGCGGCGGAUGCGGAUGGAUCGACCUCCCGGCAGAGCGCCUCAUCCCAGAUGAGGGGAUCCCCCCGAGAAGGAAGUAAAGCCGGAUAGCAGCAGUGAAGGCGAAGCAUUGUGAAGGUGGUCUACUUGCAAGAUAUCCCAGCCCAGGAUGCCAGAGGACAGGUUCCGUGCAGAGAGGCAGAGCCGAAGUUUGCGAUCGGCCGCACCGAAGCCGGCGCGGGGGACGUCUCGACGUACGCAUCCUAUCGAGGAUGGGUCUUGUCCUAUUACGUUACAAAAGGUCUCUGAUGCCUAUUUUCUGAGGAUCUACCAUUUGAUGUUGAGAAGCAGCAGUGAGAAGAUGUCUCGGGGCAUUUUGUUCAGCACAGUGUUUUAAAUAAGGGUUGCGGUCACUGUGUGAGUUAGAGUCUCCUGCUGUGUGUCAGGGCGUGUCUGUCUGUGAGAGUCGGUGGGUCUGGGUUUGCUUGUGUGUGUGUGUGUUGUGCGGUUCUAACCUUGUGUGUAUUGCUUUUGCUUUUCAGGACUUUAAAUUCACUUUUAAAUUUAGAAUAAAAAAUCCCCAGCUGGGGGGGUUUUUUUUUUUUCCCUCCCAGCUGGGGUUUUUUUUCCUCGGUCCCGGCUGGUCUGCGAGGCGACAGUCAUCGCCUAAGUUUGGGCACGGACCGGCCCCGGACCGGGGUUUUCGUCAGGCAGGCUGAUUUUUGAGGCCCCUGGGAACUGUGUUCCCGUGGGGUAGGAGGGGUGUGUGUGUGUGUGUGUUGUGUGGUUCUAACCUUGUGUGUAUUGCUUUUGCUUUUCAGGACUUUAAAUUCACUUUUAAAUUUAGAAUAAAAAAUCCCCAGCUGGGGGGGUUUUUUUUUUUUCCCUCCCAGCUGGGGUUUUUUUUCCUCGGUCCCGGCCGGUCUGCGAGGCGACAGUCAUCGCCUAAGUUUGGGCACGGACCGGCCCUGGACCGGGGUUUUCGUCAGGCAGGCCGAUUUUGAGGCUCCCGGGAACCGAGUUCCCGUGGGGUAGGAGGGGUGUGUGUUGUGCGGUUCUAACCUUGUGUGUAUUGCUUUUCAGGACUUUAAAUUCACUUUUAAAUUUAGAAUAAAAAAUCCCCAGCUGGGGGGGUUUUUUUUUUUUCCCUCCCAGCUGGGGUUUUUUUUCCUCGGUCCCGGCCGGUCUGAGAGGCGACAGUCAUCGCCUAAGUUUGGGCACGGACCGGCCCCGGACCGGGGUUUUCGUCAGGCAGGCCGAUUUCGAGGCUCCCGGGAACCACGUUCCCGAGGACCACCGCCAGCAGGGUUAUAACGGGGCGGUUGAGAGGAGAGCGAAGGUGAGCGUGUGUGUGAGCAGAAGCCGGCUUCU